Molecule: ribosomal RNA, 497 nt
Filed under: uncultured bacterium
Lineage: Bacteria
Description: bacterial SSU rRNA
Rfam family: Bacterial small subunit ribosomal RNA
Source: RNAcentral
GAUGAACGCUAGCGGAAGGCUUAAUACAUGCAAGUCGAGCGGUAGGUGGCUUCGGCCAUUGAGAGCGGCGCACGGGUGAGUAACGCGUACAUGACCUGCCUGUCAGAAGGGGAUAGCCCUGGGAAACUGGGAUUAAUACCCUAUGGUAUUGAUAUUAUGAAUGAUAUCAAUUAAAGUUGAGGCGCUGACAGAUGGAUGUGCGUCUGAUUAGCUAGUUGGUAGGGUAACGGCCUACCAAGGCGACGAUCAGUAGGGGGCGUGAGAGCGUGGUCCCCCACACGGGUACUGAGACACGGACCCGACUCCUACGGGAGGCAGCAGUAAGGAAUAUUGGUCAAUGCCCGCAAGGGUGAACCAGCCAUUCCGCGUGGAGGAUGAAGGCCCUAAUGGGUUGUAGACUUCUUUUAGAUGGGAAGAAAAUGCUAGAUGUAUCUGGUACUGACGGUACCAUCAGAAUAAGCACCGGCUAACUCCGUGCCAGCCGCCGCGGUAAAACC